ACCUGUGUGGUCAAAUGGUUAACAUGCUUGGCUGCUAACCAAAAGGCUGGAGGUUCACGUCCAGCCAGAGGUA
RNAcentral lists this transfer RNA (73 nucleotides) under Loxodonta africana (African savanna elephant). It matches the Rfam family "tRNA". Rfam says of the family: Transfer RNA (tRNA) molecules are approximately 80 nucleotides in length. Their secondary structure includes four short double-helical elements and three loops (D, anti-codon, and T loops). The record is from Rfam by way of RNAcentral. Lineage: Eukaryota; Metazoa; Chordata; Mammalia; Proboscidea; Elephantidae.